UUUGUAUCUCGUGCAUGGUAGUAGUUAGGAUUAAAAGCCUAACUAGCUAUAUGCACGUAGUCGUAACUGAAAGGUUGAUCGACCACAGUGGGCCUGAAUAAAGCCCAUGACGAUUGUCACAGCAGUGAGGAAUAUUGGUCAAUAGCCUAACGGCUGAACCAGCAACUUGGAGGAAUGUAUAGCAAUAGCAAUUAUGAUAAUGACAUUGUCUGCCUAUGUGUCUUGACCAAAUUACGUGCCAGCAGUCGCGGUAAUACGUAGAAGACUAGUGUUAUUCAUGUUUAAUCGGUUUAAAGGGUACCUAGACGGUAAAUCAAGCCUAAAAAAAAAUAAUUGAAGGGACUAAUUUGCUAGAGUUACUUAUGAGGGGGUAUUAAAGUACUGCUGGUGUAGAGAUGAAAUUCUGUCAUACCUCUUUUCAAUAUGUGAUAACUGACGUUGAGGGACGAAGGCUUUGUGUAGCGAACAGGAUUAGAUACCCCAGUAGUCAAAGCAGAAAAUGAUGAAUGUCAUAGAUUAGAUAUAUAAGUUUAUUCUAUAAAUGAAAGUGUAAGCAUUCCACCUCAAGAGUAAUUUGGCAACAUUGGAACUGAAAUCAUUAGACCGUUUCAAUUUGAAUAUUUAUAUCUAUUAUUGUUUUUUCUUCUUAUUUUUUAAUUAAAAACAAUAAUUAAGAAGAAAAAUAAGAAAAAGAGGCAAUAAGAUAUAUUUACAAGCGUUGCACGGCUGUCUUCAGUUAAUGUCGCGAGACUUUGGUUAGUUCCAUUAAAUUAACGUAAACCCUUACUUUAUUUUUAUAUAGAGUAGUUCCCCGCUAUAUUGGAUA
Molecule: ribosomal RNA, 826 nt
Filed under: Evernia prunastri
Lineage: Eukaryota; Fungi; Ascomycota; Lecanoromycetes; Lecanorales; Parmeliaceae
Description: SSU rRNA
Rfam family: Bacterial small subunit ribosomal RNA
Source: RNAcentral